AAAUGAAGCUUUUUUUAAACACUUUAAAUAAGUUGUAAUGAGUUUUCCCCGAAAUGUGCUUCAUUUUUGGCUAUUUCACGUUAAAGUAUUCCAUUUGGAAUUUGACGAAUAUGAACCUAUUUUUAAUUAGCUAUAACUCUGCUUCUACUAGGUAUAGAAACGUAGUACAGAAACUCUUUAUUGAUUUUCAGUUUUCAUUAAAAGAAAAUUGAUUUGUUUUUUCGUUCUAGGAUUGGGAGUAUAGACAGGCUAGACAAAGGCAACAACUUUCAAAAGGAUAAUUACGAAGUACAGCAACAUUGAAGAUAACAUUAAUGUCGUUAGGUACUUGGAAUUACAGAGAAGUGAUAAUAGACUAAUCAUCAUCAGCCUCUCUCGAUCCACUGCUGGACAUAGGCCUCUCAUGUUUGUCUCCAAAGAGAGUCAAGUAGACUAAUAGAAUAACAGGUAUAGUGUAAAUACAUGUAAGUAGAUAGGUUAACACCUUGGCUACCGUGUGAGAUGCCAGCAUCUCACACCAAAUAUGACUGUAGUACCGUGUGAGACGCCGGCUUCCAUUAUUAUUAAAUGAUUUAAAAUGCUCUAAGGAGAGAGUUUUUAGUUUCUCAUAUUGGUUUCAAAAUAAGAUAAUGAAAUUAUAGUUACUUACCAUGGUUUUCGAAAAAGUGUAAUAUAACUUGCAUAUUAGAUAUUCAAAGUAAAAUGUGAUGAUAAAAUUGUACAAAAUUACAAGUUAUUAGUUUAAGUGAUCGCUAGCCAAGGUGUUAAACGUUAAUAAAGGUAUGGUAGUUAUAUUGUAUGUAGGUACAGUUGAGUCCAUGGUUCUUUACCCGUGGUUCAUUAAUACCUGGAGAGAUAAAACACAUACUUUUUAUUUAGCACAAUUGUGUUCCACGCAUGACACUAAAGACAAACCAGCUACCGCCUGUUAUUAAGUAAAGACACGUUAUUUUUAUGAACAUUCUACUCAGUACAUCGAAAACAUAGAGGUGCAAAAAAUACGCUUGGGGCGUUUUCAGAUUUAAGUACAAUUUGCAACGUUUGUGGUUUGUUUAUUGUUUGUUUUUUCACAACUAAUUUUAUUUUAUCAUUAAUUUACAUACAAAGUUCACAUCAUUCACACAGAUUGUCAUAACCACUUUCUGCCAAUGGACUCAACUGUAAAAUUAGUUUAUCAUUUUAUAGUGUAAAUACAAAUAAAAAAACUAGUAUUGUGACAAGAUAGUGUUUUGUAAGUAGGUAGGUUAAAUAUCAAUAAAGGUUCUGUUUAGUUACAAUUUAUAGUGGUUAUAUUGUAUGUAGGUAAUAUUAGUUGAUCAUUUUGCAAUGUCAAAUUCUAAAUCCAAACCCGGUAAAUAUGUUCACGGAUGUUUAGCGCCCUAUUGUAAUAACAAAUAUUUUCAUCCUGUCACAGACCCAGAGUAUACAAAUAAAAAGUUUUUUAGAUUUUCAGAUAAAAAUUUAAAAAGACGUCAUGACUGGUUUGAAAUUAUUGGUAUUGAAUUUACUGAAACUAGGUGUUAUUUAUGUGAAGAUCAUUUUGAGGAAACACAAUUUACAAUCAGUUUAAAAACAAAACUAUUGAAUAAUGCAGUGCCCUCCAAAAUAAUUCACGAUCAACUUUUGCCUAUACCUGCACAUUCUUCUAAUAAAAUCUCUGUUUCAAAUGUACACAUUUUUAGUAGCAAAGAAAUAGUUCCUUCAAUAAGUAGAAUGUAAAUUUAUAGCUUUUAUCCCUAAAUCUCACACCUCCUAGUUUCAUUUGUUUUUAUCUCAUGACUUGAAUGUGUUUUCCAUCUUUUGCGUUAUUUUGCCUGUUAUUAGCACGUUCAUCACUGUAUAACUCACAUAUAGUAUUUUUACUACAAAAAUGUUAUUAUGUAGGUCAAAAUUUUUGACGUAAGAGAACUGUCAAAACAUUAGAAUGUGACUUUUCUUUAUUGCCAUGUUUAUUAAUAAACAUGGCAAUAAUGAAAAGUCACAUUCUAAUGUUUUGACAGUUCUCUUACGUCAAAAAUUUUGACCUACGUAAUAACGUUUUUGUAGUAAAAAUACUAUAGUAUAGUAGUCCCCAGUACAAGGACCUAAAAUCUCACUGAUAUAUGAGGCGCUCAGAGCAACAGUGGCCUAACCCACAUCCCACAAUUUUACCAAAACGCUUUUAUUACAUUAAAAUUAUGCAUUACUAAUUAUUUUCAAAUGCAGAUUGGCUCAAGCAACCAUUGCUUGAACUACUCUGCAUCUGAAAACACUUAAAUAAGGGAUAAAUUUAAUGUAAUAAAAUCGUUUUGGUAAAAUUGUGGGAUGUGGGUUAGGCCACUGUUGCUCUGAGCGCCUCAUAUAUGAGGCAUUGCGGAUAGUAAAGGGGAACUCAACAAAAGCGUUUCAAGAAAUGUGGGUUUAAAAAUGCAGGUAGUAAGGGCGAACUCAACAAAAAGAAGUUUUGAAGGUAUAUUUUGAAGGCGAAACUUCAAAUGAGGUAGGAAAUUUAAUUUAAAAUGGUAUCAAAAAAAAUUUUUUUGACCCAAUGUUGAGUUCGCCCUUACUAUCAGCAACGGCUCAUAUCUGGACCUCGGAGGUAAACUACACUAUGUCGACAUGGUGUUUUUUUGAACAAGUUUUUUAAUCCACUUGUUUUACUAGUUGGAUUAUAGAAAUUGAUUAUAUACAUUCAAAUAUAGAUAUAUUGUCUAUCAUAUAGUUUAAAUCUGAGGUCCAGAUAUAUGUUUCAAGCUUUGUGUAUGCAUUCCUUGCGACAUGUACGUACAAUAAACUUUUCCUCUGUGACCAUAAUUAUAUUUAUAUAAACCAAACUUGUAUUGAGAGACAUAAUAACGUAAAAGUGACAUCUUUGAGAUCUAAGCGUUCAAAAACAUAGCAACUUUGAAAGAUAUCCCAGAGGAAAAGUUUGUCUGACAUGUCGCAGGGAAUACAAACACAAAGUUUAAAACUUAAAUGUAUCAAUGAAAUUUUAGGUCCUUGUACUGGAGACUAUAGUGUAAAGUUAAACAAUUUUUAAUGGCAAACAUUUUGAUUUUUCUUAUAAACAUUUAUUUAAAUUGCAGGUUUGUUCGAUUUGUUUAUCACCUAAAAAUAUUUUACUUAUUUAUUGUAAGUUGAUAUUUUAAAGGUUUUUAUUUCAGCUUUAGUAAAGUUCUCUGUGUAUUAUAUAAUUUUUUUCUUUAGAUAUUUUUGGCUACUAAUCAAAUUUGUAAUAUGUAUCUGCAUUUUGUAAAAUACAUAUAAGAUAAAUAAAGAAGAGUGGGGACAUGCAUGUAUUUUGUGUUGAUCUGCGUUUUAAAUCAUUAUUUCAAAACAAUUUUACUGCAUAGAUUUUCUUAUUUUGUUUUAUCAGCACUCCAUACAUGCAUGCGGUAAGCGGGGGGUCCCCGUGAGCAGAGGCUAUUUUACUUCAAAUCAGGCCCGAGGCACUACACAAUUUUCGGGCCCCUAAAUAUAAUUUAAUAAUAAUAUCUUUUUUAAAUGUAUUAAUUAUUUAAUAGUUGGACAAGAAAAUAAAAUUUUUAUUAACAAUAAAUAAAAUUUAUAUUUAAACAAUUAAACAUUGUUUAAGGGGAUAGGCGCAAACUUUCGGCUUCAAUGCUAUUUAAAAGCAUUCGUCUUUUUCGAAGCCUGAGAAAACUAAUAAGUAUUUUUGAAAAAAUUAAACGCAGAAUGAAAGAUUACGUUACUACCGAGGGCCGAAAGUCACUGAAAUUUCGAUAAUGUUUAUUUUAAUAAGUUACAGGGUCAAAAAAAGAGAAAAUUGAGUGUGAUUUUUAAUUUUAAAUACAUAUCUUAUUCAAAAGAAACUUUAUAUUUAUUCUAAGGGACAUUCGGCCCUCGGUAAUAAUGUAAUCUUUCAUUCUGCGUCUAAAUUUUUUAAAAAUAAUUAUUAGUUUUUUGAGGAUUCGAAAAUAUGAAUGCAUUUAAAGAGCAUUGAACCGAAAGUUUGCGCCUAUCCACUUAAUUAUAACUCUUAUGGUUGUCAUUUAUUCGUAAAAUGAAAGAAUUUUGAAAAUUUGUUUUGUUAUUGUUAUAAAUUAAAGUUUGGUGAUCUUUCCGGGCCCCAUUCAAAUACGGUCCCGAGGCAGGUGCUUCAGGGGGCUAGGCCCUACCCUUGAGGAUUAAUAAAAAUAAAAUGUAUGUACAUAGUUUUUUUCCCAGUGUUUAUAUUAUUUUCUAUUUUUCUGAAAAGUUCUGAGAGAAAUAUGGAAUAACUGAUUUACUGUAAGAGUUGAUAUUUUAAAGGCUUUUAUUUUAGUUUUAGUAAAGUUCUCUGUGUGCUGUAUAAUAUUUUUCUUUAGAUAUUUUUAGGCUACUAAUCAAAAUAGUAAUAUCUGCAUUUUGUAAAAUAUGAGAUAAAUAAAGAGGUCUUCGUAAAGAUUAAUAAAAAUAAAA
RNAcentral lists this long non-coding RNA (4401 nucleotides) under Diabrotica virgifera virgifera (western corn rootworm). RNAcentral describes it as "uncharacterized LOC126879007". The record is from RNAcentral. Lineage: Eukaryota; Metazoa; Arthropoda; Insecta; Coleoptera; Chrysomelidae.